RNAcentral lists this ribosomal RNA (252 nucleotides) under uncultured bacterium. Its description in RNAcentral is "partial 16S ribosomal RNA". It matches the Rfam family "Bacterial small subunit ribosomal RNA", at positions 99 to 334 of the family's 1533-position model. The record is from RNAcentral.
CAAACGGGUGAGUAACACGUAAACAACCUGCCUUCAGGAUGGGGACAACAGACGGAAACGACUGCUAAUACCGAAUAAGUUCCAAGGGCCGCAUGGCCCAUGGAAGAAAAGGUGGCCUCUACCUGUAAGCUAUCGCCUGAAGAGGGGUUUGCGUCUGAUUAGCUGGUUGGAGGGGUAACGGCCCACCAAGACUACGAUGGAUAGGGGUUCUGAGAGGAAGGUCCCCCACAUUGGAACUGAGACACGGUCCAA